AGGGAUAUAGUGCAACGCGUUUGUUUUGGGUACAAAAUGCCAUGGGUUCAAAUCCUUUCAUCCCUA
Molecule: transfer RNA, 66 nt
Filed under: Amborella trichopoda
Lineage: Eukaryota; Viridiplantae; Streptophyta; Magnoliopsida; Amborellales; Amborellaceae
Rfam family: tRNA
About the family: Transfer RNA (tRNA) molecules are approximately 80 nucleotides in length. Their secondary structure includes four short double-helical elements and three loops (D, anti-codon, and T loops).
Source: Rfam by way of RNAcentral